AGUUAGAAAUGACUGCUAAUACCGCAUAAGACCACGGAGCCGCAUGGCUCAGUGGGAAAAACUCCGGUGGUAUGAGAUGGACCCGCGUCUGAUUAGGUAGUUGGUGGGGUAACGGCCUACCAAGCCAACGAUCAGUAGCCGACCUGAGAGGGUGACCGGCCACAUUGGGACUGAGACACGGCCCAAACUCCUACGGGAGGCAGCAGUGGGGAAUAUUGCACAAUGGGGGAAACCCUGAUGCAGCGACGCCGCGUGAGCGAAGAAGUAUUUCGGUAUGUAAAGCUCUAUCAGCAGGGAAGAAAAUGACGGUACCUGACUAAGAAGCACCGGCUAAAUACGUGCCAGCAGCCGCGGUAAUACGUAUGGUGCAAGCGUUAUCCGGAUUUACUGGGUGUAAAGGGAGCGUAGACGGCUGUGUAAGUCUGAAGUGAAAGCCCGGGGCUCAACCCCGGGACUGCUUUGAAAACUAUGUAGCUAGAGUGUCGGAGAGGUAAGUGGAAUUCCCAGUGUAGCGGUGAAAUGCGUAGAUAUUGGGAGGAACACCAGUGGCGAAGGCGGCUUACUGGACGAUGACUGACGUUGAGGCUCGAAAGCGUGGGGAGCAAACAGGAUUAGAUACCCUGG
Molecule: ribosomal RNA, 624 nt
Filed under: uncultured bacterium
Lineage: Bacteria
Description: bacterial SSU rRNA
Rfam family: Bacterial small subunit ribosomal RNA
Source: RNAcentral